RNAcentral lists this ribosomal RNA (253 nucleotides) under uncultured bacterium. RNAcentral's name for it is "partial 16S ribosomal RNA". It matches the Rfam family "Bacterial small subunit ribosomal RNA", at positions 524 to 776 of the family's 1533-position model. The record is from RNAcentral.
UACGGAGGGUGCAAGCGUUAUCCGGAUUCACUGGGUUUAAAGGGUGCGUAGGCGGGCAGGUAAGUCAGUGGUGAAAUCUCCGGGCUUAACCCGGAAACUGCCGUUGAUACUAUCUGUCUUGGAUAUCGUGGAGGUAAGCGGAAUAUGUCAUGUAGCGGUGAAAUGCUUAGAUAUGACAUAGAACACCCAUUGCGAAGGCAGCUUACUACACGAUCAUUGACGCUGAGGCACGAAAGCGUGGGGAGCAAACAGG